UCUUUUCCUUUUUGAAAUGGGACUAGCCGUUCCUUAUCACUAAUGUUGCAUAAUAAUCUGCUGUAGACCAUCAGACUUGAACAUUCUGCAAUCCCGAAUCCUUGAGAACUUUUUCGAAUCAGGCAGUUGAAUUAGAAGUGGACAUGAGCUUUCGUAAUACAUUGUGCACAUAGCGAUGAAUAAGCAAAUCAGUUUUGUUGUGGA
RNAcentral lists this long non-coding RNA (204 nucleotides) under Olea europaea (common olive). Its description in RNAcentral is "long non-coding RNA (OEUR_LNC015014)". The record is from RNAcentral. Lineage: Eukaryota; Viridiplantae; Streptophyta; Magnoliopsida; Lamiales; Oleaceae.